RNAcentral lists this ribosomal RNA (760 nucleotides) under uncultured bacterium. Its description in RNAcentral is "bacterial SSU rRNA". It matches the Rfam family "Bacterial small subunit ribosomal RNA", at positions 8 to 775 of the family's 1533-position model. The record is from RNAcentral.
AGAGUUUGAUCAUGGCUCAGGACGAACGCUGGCGGCGUGCCUAAUGCAUGCAAGUCGAGCGGGCUACGAUCUUCGGAUUGUAGCUUAGCGGCGAACGGGUGAGUAACACGUAGGUAAUCUACCCUUCAGAGGAGGACAACCUCAGGAAACUGAGGCUAAACCUUCAUACGUCCACUGGUAGGGAUACUGGUGAGGAAAGAGUUACCUUAGUGGUAGCUGCUGAAGGAUGAGCCUGCGGCCCAUCAGGUAGUUGGUGAGGUAACGGCUCACCAAGCCGAAGACGGGUAACCGGUCUGAGAGGAUGUCCGGUCACACUGGGACUGAGACACGGCCCAGACUCCUACGGGAGGCAGCAGCAGGGAAUCUUGGGCAAUGGGCGAAAGCCUGACCCAGCGACGCCGCGUGGAGGAAGAAGUCCUUCGGGGCGUAAACUCCUGGACUGGGGGACGAGUAAGGACGGUACCCCAGUAGAAAGGGACGGCUAACUACGUGCCAGCAGCCGCGGUAAAACGUAGGUCCCGAGCGUUGUUCGGAUUCACUGGGUGUAAAGGGCGCGUAGGUGGUUGUCUGUGUCUCAUGUGAAAACUCAGGGCUCAACUCUGAGAUUGCGUGGGAAACUAGGCAGCUAGAGGACGGUAGAGGGGAGUGGAAUUCCCGGUGUAGCGGUAAAAUGCGUAGAUAUCGGGAGGAACACCGGUGGCGAAGGCGGCUCUCUGGGCCGAUCCUGACGCUGAGGCGCGAAAGCUAGGGGAGCGAACCG